GGGAGUGUUUCAACAUUUUAAUUUGUGUUGGUUUACAAGUAUAAAAGAAAACCUAUGUAUCAGAUCUUGCAUACUCUUAUACACACGAAUAAUCCUUACUGAGCAAUCCCUUGUGUGACUCAGGACUAUUCAAGUGAGUACAGUUCUUAACAGUAGCCUUAUACUCUUCCAUUCAAACCAUAUACCUCUAGCAUUCAUAGAGGAGAGUAAAACCGCAGUCAACCUGAAGCAAGACAUCACUCAUUCAUACACAUACAUCCUUUGUAGCUAAUACUAUCCUCUCAGUGCAGCCACUGGGUGUGCUGGUAACAACACUGGCUAGACUGUCAUUAACCUGAGAAAAAACUGCUUUUCCUAGCAUUACAGCACGCUUUAGAAAAACAAGUUUGUCCUUUAAAACAAAGGUCUUAACAGAGUAUCUUUGCCUCUAUGACUCCCUGUUAUACCUUCUUUCUACUAGCAAUGGCAGCACAGCUAGAUCAAAACAUAUAUAGAGCAGCAACCCUGUUAGUUAAUCUGCACUCCAGGCUGCAGUGACAUGAGGCACUGCAAAAGCAACAGCCCUCAUGUUGAUGGAGUGUUUAAACUCUUUUUGGUUAGUCUGCACAACUAAAGCAUAACCACACGACAGCAAUGUAACUCAUACAAGUAUCUUUUUUAAUUUUCCCCUCUCAUAACAGUGAUUUAAAUAUUCAGUUCCCUAUGCAUGCACUUCAGGAGAUUGGUAUAAAAAUAGGAAGUAAUAUGGCACACUUUCUAAAAAUAUGCAUAUACAGUGGUCUUCAUCAUUGGUAUGUGAAGUUAAAUGGUACUCAAAAUGUCACCACACUGGACUUCUGCCUGUGUAGCUCUCCUACUGCUGACUUCACCGUAGUACAAAUAUUUCACUGGCUGAGAUUUGUGAAGUUUCCACUGUUUCUAAAUGGCAAAAUCACAACUGCACCAUCACUUACAGUAUCUGCUUUAAGGAUUUGAGAACUGUCUCUUUAGAUGUGAAGUACUUCUACACAUGAAACCACUUUUUUAUUUUUUUCUCUCCAAGGACUAAUGCUUCAGACCAAGGUACCUCUGUAGAUAGGCAACAGCCAUAAUUCCCUGAUUAUUGAUGAGUAUCCAACUAUAAAGUCAGAUUCUCAGUUUUAGCUAAGAACACCUGAAAAUGCGUCCCUGUGUGCUGAACUCUGCAGGUUUAGAAGCAAGGGGGUUACAUUCUUACUUGCUCCUUUAACUCACUACUGGGAAAAAAAUAAAACAAACCAAACCCACAAAGCUGAAAUAUUCUUCUACAUCAUCUAAAAAAGUACAGAGAAAUACUACACUGUACAUCUCUGUACAAGUACAGAGAAAUACUGUAGUGUCUUCAAAGCAUCACUUCGCUAUUCUAUGCUCCUCAGAGAAAGAAAUUAGAACUGAGGUGUUUGGUGUUUUCCUCAGAUACUGAGGUACAUUCCCAUGGCAAGCUGAGGCCAAAAAUUCCCUUGCAACCCCCCCAAUAAUUUAAUGAGAACUACAUACACAUACCACACACAGACACAUAAUAAGCAAAAUAAAAAACAGAACUCCAUUAUAAAACUGAAGUAUGAAGACAUUCAUUUACCGUGCAGUAAAGAAAAAAUAAAAACAUCUUAGUUCUUUGCAGCACUGCAUGUGACAUAUUUCAUGAUAAAUUACCUCAGACCUGAACUUGAGACACAUCUAAUACAAUUAUGCUGAUGUCAUCCCAACUGAAGAACUUCACAUCCUCCAUGAUGAUAGGAUGGAGGCUAAGCUUAGGACAGUAGUUGAUGCUUUUGGUCAUAAAUUACUUGUUUC
This is a long non-coding RNA of Strigops habroptila (Kakapo), 1812 nucleotides long. The record is from Ensembl. Lineage: Eukaryota; Metazoa; Chordata; Aves; Psittaciformes; Psittacidae.